AUUUGGCAAGUGAUGAAUGCUAAUACAACUAAUGGGUAAUUUGCGUCUGAAAUAUUUGAUUGAUGCUAACACCUUGUAUAUCUGAUGCCUUAU
This is a small nucleolar RNA of Pistacia vera, 93 nucleotides long. The record is from RefSeq and is a predicted model, not a curated record. NCBI's taxonomy places the organism in Eukaryota, Viridiplantae, Streptophyta, Magnoliopsida, Sapindales, Anacardiaceae.